This 492-nucleotide ribosomal RNA is filed under the name uncultured bacterium. Its description in RNAcentral is "partial 16S ribosomal RNA". It matches the Rfam family "Bacterial small subunit ribosomal RNA", at positions 29 to 507 of the family's 1533-position model. The record is from RNAcentral.
AGUGAACGCUGGCGGUAUGCCUAACACAUGCAAGUCGAACGGCAGCACAGUAAGAGCUUGCUCUUACGGGUGGCGAGUGGCGGACGGGUGAGGAAUACAUCGGAAUCUACUUUUUCGUGGGGGAUAACGUAGGGAAACUUACGCUAAUACCGCAUACGACCUACGGGUGAAAGCAGGGGAUCUUCGGACCUUGCGCGAUUGAAUGAGCCGAUGUCGGAUUAGCUAGUUGGCGGGGUAAAGGCCCACCAAGGCGACGAUCCGUAGCUGGUCUGAGAGGAUGAUCAGCCACACUGGAACUGAGACACGGUCCAGACUCCUACGGGAGGCAGCAGUGGGGAAUAUUGGACAAUGGGCGCAAGCCUGAUCCAGCAAUACCGCGUGGGUGAAGAAGGCCUUCGGGUUGUAAAGCCCUUUUGUUGGGAAAGAAAAGCAGCAGGUUAAUCCCCCGCUGUUCUGACGGUACCCAAAGAAUAAGCACCGGCUAACUUCGUG